RNAcentral lists this ribosomal RNA (207 nucleotides) under uncultured bacterium. RNAcentral describes it as "partial 16S ribosomal RNA". It matches the Rfam family "Bacterial small subunit ribosomal RNA", at positions 568 to 774 of the family's 1533-position model. The record is from RNAcentral.
UCCGUAGGUGGAUAAUUAAGUCAGAGGUGAAAGUCUGCAGCUCAACUGUAGAAUUGCCUUUGAUACUGGUUAUCUUGAGUUAUUAUGAAGUAGUUAGAAUAUGUAGUGUAGCGGUGAAAUGCAUAGAUAUUACAUAGAAUACCAAUUGCGAAGGCAGAUUACUAAUAAUAUACUGACACUGAUGGACGAAAGCGUGGGGAGCGAACA